Molecule: long non-coding RNA, 953 nt
Organism: Suricata suricatta (meerkat)
Lineage: Eukaryota; Metazoa; Chordata; Mammalia; Carnivora; Herpestidae
Exons: 8
Source: RefSeq, a predicted model, not a curated record
CCAGACAAGAGCAGGAGCUCCAAUCUACAACAAGGAUAAAAACCCAAAAGAGAGUCCAGGCUUUAUGAUGUUUUUGAUUUCCACCCUUCCUGAAGCUAAAGAUUUCUGCUUCCUGGAGAUGGGAUGGAUGCUUUUUCCCCUAUUUAUUUCACUGAGAACUAAAACCACAAGCCUUAUAUAGAAAACAAACAUAAGAAGACAAAAAGAUGGAGAGAAGACCGACUGGCUGGAGACCUGGGGACCGAAGAAGGACACAUUGAGUUAAAGCUGGAAAAAGGAAAUUGCUCUACACUUCAUAUAAGAGAAUAUGUAAAAGAAAAACAAUAGCAAUGAGGAAAAAGUGGAACUUACUGGGGCACCAUCAUGAAAGUGGCAGAGAAAGAAUCCAGAAGGAAAUGAAGAAGGAAUGGACAGAGGAAUCUUCUUUACAUCCCCAAGCAAGUUCAUAGCUGAAGAUGCUGCUGACCCAUGAAAAUCUCACUUUAUAUCUGUGUUUACAAAUGUAUCGUGCUUCAAACUCUCGGAGAAGUAAAUACUUGGGGACCUAGGGAAUAAAGAGGCACCUGCGGAGCACAACACCCACUUUAUGCCAGUUUCAGAAAUCAGAGGAAGAAGCUUGCUGCCAAGCCUGUGCAGUGGUUGGUAGUAAACUGAAUGAAGAUGGUCAAAUUGGCUGUGGAAGCAUCUGUUGAAAUGGAGCCUAGAGUCCUGUGUGAUGAGGAUUUCAAUCUGUGUUGGAAUGUAGCAUGAACAAGAAAUAAACUUUACUGACAACAGAUGUACCAAGCCCAAAAGUCUCAGCUAACUUGAUGGGAUAAGAAAAAUGUUCAAAUAGAAUCAAAAUACUGAAGCAGCUUGAUACCGACCAUAUUAAAGUAAGGCAUGCUGUAUGCUCGUGUAAAGCACAAAUCCCCCAAUUUCAGUGCCUUAAUAAAGUUUAUUUCUCCCUCACA